Molecule: signal recognition particle RNA, 97 nt
Filed under: Litorivicinus lipolyticus
Lineage: Bacteria; Pseudomonadati; Pseudomonadota; Gammaproteobacteria; Oceanospirillales; Litorivicinaceae
Description: Litoricola lipolytica Bacterial small signal recognition particle RNA
Rfam family: Bacterial small signal recognition particle RNA
About the family: The signal recognition particle (SRP) is a universally conserved ribonucleoprotein involved in the co-translational targeting of proteins to membranes.
Source: Rfam by way of RNAcentral
CGUCGGUCCCCUCGCGGUGAUCGCUUGUAAACUCCGCCAGGCCCGGAAGGGAGCAACGGUAGCAAGUUGAUUGUGCGCCGGGGUGUGGCUGACGGGG